Molecule: long non-coding RNA, 320 nt
Organism: Haliotis rubra (blacklip abalone)
Lineage: Eukaryota; Metazoa; Mollusca; Gastropoda; Lepetellida; Haliotidae
Exons: 2
Source: RefSeq, a predicted model, not a curated record
CUACCCAACCACUCACUCACUCACUCACUCACUCACAACUAUGCGGGCAGCCUCGGAGGUUGAAACUGUCUUCAUGAAUUGGCCAACCUUUUCCUGUUAUGUAUCGACAGAGGCGCGAUUAUAUAAAUAAGGUGCUACUUUCAAUGUGUAGGCAAAAGUUUUAACUAUAUUUGUUGACACCAGUGCCAACGAAAGCGAUAUCCGUUGGAAAUGUGUCGACUUUUGUUAAUGCAAACAUUACAGGAAAAAGUGCAAUGUCUGUAAUGUUUUAUAAAAGAUGACAACAGGCUUUCGACCACAAAAUUCAGAAAUGGCAUCAU